Molecule: long non-coding RNA, 669 nt
Organism: Notolabrus celidotus (New Zealand spotty)
Lineage: Eukaryota; Metazoa; Chordata; Actinopteri; Labriformes; Labridae
Exons: 3
Source: RefSeq, a predicted model, not a curated record
UCCAAAGAUGGAAGACACAACAUUUGAAUCGAGCUGGAAAAAAGGAAUGCUCAUGUAAAGAACAUUGAUUGGGUUGGUAUUUUUUGGACGCUCCAUGUGUAAAUAAGACACUGAGACAUCAUGUCCUCAGACCCACAGGGCUGCCACAGAAACACUUCGCCUACAGGCUACAACAAAGGGGGCUCAGACCAAGUCCUCUCCAGCAGCAGGCUUGUCAGCUCUAUUAGCGGCCCCAGGAUCUGAGUCUGUCCUCUGAUCAUCCUGUCCUCUCGUCAGCUGCUGGAAACAUCAACUUCCAUCAUUAAAACAUCAGAGGUGCCGAUGCAAAUACUGGACCAAUGCAGCUCCAGGAAGUGCUGCUCUCUUUGACGAGGAGAAGCAGCUACAUUAUAAGACGGACCUGCCUAGCAUUUCUUAUGUAAUGGGUUUUAAUGGAGUUAAUGACCUGUGCAGUCAAGAUUCAAGUCAGGACAAAUGGGGGAAGAAGUUUUUACAUUGGCUUUCUAAGUCAAAGUAUAGUUUCACUAAUGUACCUCUCAGCCCGCGACCCCCAAAAUUUACCCCCACUGUCCCACAAAGUGAUUUAAUGUGGCUUAAUUUAGCUGGUCUGCAGAAAGUUAGCCUCCCUAUAUGAGCAUGUGGCUACGUUUCCUAUGCCAUUAUGAAUAA